CUAAGAUGAAAAACUUUAACGCCGUUAACCUUCGCUUGAAUGGUAACACAUUCUGUCAACUGUUUGCGAACGGCAAGGCCAUCAUAAACGGCGGACCAACAAUGUCUGGGAAAUCAACGUUUACGUUGCAACUCUUGAAAAACGUUUCACAAAGUUUCACUCCCGUCCCUACUCGUAUUGUUUACGCGUACGAAAAGGUGAUACAACGCUGCUAAUUUUGGAUGAUUUAAUGGAGGAAAUAGCAUCUGCUACUAAGGCAUCCGCGUUAUUUACCCGUGAUGUUCACCACAAAAACGUUUCUGUUGUUUUCAUCUCACAAAACCUUUUCAAGCAAGGAAAGAACAUGCGUGAUAUUUCUCUCAACUCACAAUAUAUGGUCGUAUUUAAAUCUGUUCGCGACACACAGCAAAUAAAAACGCUAGCGCAUCAGCUGG
Molecule: long non-coding RNA, 434 nt
Organism: Paramacrobiotus metropolitanus
Lineage: Eukaryota; Metazoa; Tardigrada; Eutardigrada; Parachela; Macrobiotidae
Exons: 3
Source: RefSeq, a predicted model, not a curated record